RNAcentral lists this ribosomal RNA (228 nucleotides) under uncultured bacterium. RNAcentral's name for it is "partial 16S ribosomal RNA". It matches the Rfam family "Bacterial small subunit ribosomal RNA", at positions 103 to 334 of the family's 1533-position model. The record is from RNAcentral.
CGGGUGAGUAAUGUCUGGGGAUCUGCCUGAUGGCGGGGGAUAACUACUGGAAACGGUAGCUAAUACCGCAUAAUGUCUGCGGACCAAAGCGGGGGACCUCCGGGCCUCGCGCCAUCAGAUGAACCCAUAUGGGAUUAGCUAGUAGGUAAGGUAACGGCUUACCUAGGCGACGAUCCCUAGCUGGUCUGAGAGGAUGAUCAGCCACACUGGAACUGAGACACGGUCCAG